CGUGUAGGCGGUUGGGCAAGUCAGAUGUGAAAGCCUUCCGCUCAACGGAAGAAGGGCAUUUGAAACUACCCGGCUGGAGUACGGGAGAGGAGAGUGGAAUUCCCGGUGUAGAGGUGAAAUUCGUAGAUAUCGGGAGGAACACCAGUGGCGAAGGCGGCUCUCUGGUCCGAUACUGACGCUGAGACGCGAAAGCGUGGGGAGCAAACAGGAUUAGAUACCCUGGUAGUCCACGCCGUAAACGAUGGGCACUAGGUGUAGGAGGUAUUGACCCCUUCUGUGCCGAAGCUAACGCAUUAAGUGCCCCGCCUAGGGAGUACGGCCGCAAGGCUAAA
Molecule: ribosomal RNA, 332 nt
Filed under: uncultured bacterium
Lineage: Bacteria
Description: bacterial SSU rRNA
Rfam family: Bacterial small subunit ribosomal RNA
Source: RNAcentral